GGGGAGAUGGCUCAGUGGAAGAGCACCUGCCUUACAUGCAUGAGACCUUGGGUUUGAUCCCUGGCACCACA
RNAcentral lists this transfer RNA (71 nucleotides) under Erinaceus europaeus (western European hedgehog). It matches the Rfam family "tRNA". Rfam says of the family: Transfer RNA (tRNA) molecules are approximately 80 nucleotides in length. Lineage: Eukaryota; Metazoa; Chordata; Mammalia; Eulipotyphla; Erinaceidae. The record is from Rfam by way of RNAcentral.